GGGUGAGUAACAGGUAUGCAACCUGCCCCUGUCAGGGGGACAACCCGCCGAAAGGCGGGCUAAACCCGCGUACAUGCCACCGGGGCAUCCCGGAGGCAGGAAAGGCUUCGGCCGGACAGGGAUGGGCAUGCGGCGCAUUAGGCAGUAGGCGGGGUAACGGCCCACCUAACCGACGAUGCGUAGGGGUUCUGAGAGGAAGGUCCCCCACACUGGUACUGAGACACGGACCAGACUCCUACGGGAGGCAGCAGUGAGGAAUAUUGGUCAAUGGUCGGGAGACUGAACCAGCCAAGCCGCGUGAGGGAGGAAGGUACAGAGUAUCGUAAACCUCUUUUGUCAGGGAACAAAGACUGGGACGCGUCCCCGGAUGAGUGUACCUGAAGAAAAAGCAUCGGCUAACUCCGUGCCAGCAGCCGCAGUAAUACGGAGGAUGCGAGCGUUAUCCGGAUUUAUUGGGUUUAAAGGGUGCGCAGGCGGUCUGUUAAGUCAGCGGUCAAAGCCCGGGGCUCAACCCCGGCCCGCCGUUGAAACUGGCAGUCUCGAGUUGGAGAGAAGUAUGCGGAAUGCGCGGUGUAGCGGUGAAAUGCAUAGAUAUCGCGCAGAACUCCGAUUGCGAAGGCAGCAUGCCGGCUCCACACUGACGCUGAGGCACGAAAGCGUGGGUAUCGAACAGGAUUAGAUACCCUGGUAGUCCACGCAGUAAACGAUG
This 709-nucleotide ribosomal RNA is filed under the name uncultured bacterium. RNAcentral's name for it is "bacterial SSU rRNA". It matches the Rfam family "Bacterial small subunit ribosomal RNA", at positions 104 to 811 of the family's 1533-position model. The record is from RNAcentral.